UAUGAUUAUUAUAUCAACACUAAUGCAUCAGGUCUCAUUAGAACUCUGAAGUCAAGUAUAUUUGAACGAGAGUAAAAAUAUGAUGGGUGGCCUAAAAAGUGCUUGUGUUACAC
This 113-nucleotide ribosomal RNA is filed under the name Trifolium pratense (red clover). The record is from RNAcentral. Lineage: Eukaryota; Viridiplantae; Streptophyta; Magnoliopsida; Fabales; Fabaceae.